This 109-nucleotide Y RNA is filed under the name Vulpes vulpes (red fox). RNAcentral's name for it is "Y RNA (ENSVVUG00000022096.1)". It matches the Rfam family "Y RNA". From Rfam's summary of the family: Y RNAs are components of the Ro ribonucleoprotein particle (Ro RNP), in association with Ro60 and La proteins. The record is from Rfam by way of RNAcentral. Lineage: Eukaryota; Metazoa; Chordata; Mammalia; Carnivora; Canidae.
GGCUGGUCCAUAGAUAGGGAGUUAUCUCAGUGGAUCAUUCACAGUCAGUUACAGAUCAAACUUGUUAUUCUACUCUUUCUUUCUCCCUACUGCACUUGACUAGUGUUAA